ACACACUGGUUCUGGACGUGGCAGGAGGAGGGAGAAAGGAGGAGGUCCAGUGAAAGCUGAGGAGAGGAAGACGWGAACACAAACUGUGUGAGGACAGCAGCAGAAAGUUACAAACAGCUGCUGAUCUCCUGAAGGAGUCCGAUCACCUCCUCUGUAGACCUGCUCUGAGUCUGAACCAGCUGAUCGAUGAGAACUUUAUGACCACAGGUGCCCAUUAAAACCAGUGGAAACAGCGAAGCUCCAACAGUGAAACAAAUUCACUGCCAAGAGGUCAACAUGAAGCUGAAAGAAGAGUUUCUGCACAUGGUUCAGGAGGUGUGGUCAAAACUGCAGGGACUUCCACAAGCAAGUCCUCUGGAGCUGGGAGCCUUCUUCAUCCUCAUCCUCUUUGUUGGCACAUUAAUCUCCAUGAUGCUGAUCUGCUGCAUUCAUUGCUGCUGCUGUGGAAAGCCCAGAUACCAGGCCUCCAGAGUUCAGCCUCUGCAGCCUGUCUGAAGCAGAGACAGGGACCAGAACCUGCUGAAAACAGUCCUCCCCCCACCCUCACCUGACUGACAUGGAUCUGGACACAUUCUCCACUUCCUGAGAAUCAAAUGGGACCCAACGAUGGAAGACUGGGGUCCUGAUAUUUUCAGUGCUGGUUUAGAGAUUAGAGACUGGAUCAGGACUGGGGAAGCCACACCACUGGUCAUAAAACCCAUCACUGAACAGGACAAUGAAACACUGAGGCAGUGUUUCAGGGAUUAUAAGAAAAUGGGAAAAGCUGCUCUGUUUAACCCACUCUUAUAGAGGCUUUGUAAUCAGUGAACGUUCAUUAGAAACAUGACAAACAUCAUGAGUAACACACAUUCCAGCAUGUGGAGUAAAAACAGAAAAGGCCUUCUGUUCAUGAUUGAGCACUUUAAUAUAAAAUCAGAGAUGUUUACCGUUCAAAACACAGGAGCUCUGACAGGAUUUUGCAGGAACAGACCCAGGGUGCAGGCAGGCUCAUAAAAUAGAACAAAAGAUUUAUUAAGUAACAGAAAACUGCUGUCGAGGCAKCUCAAGCUUACAGGUAUU
Molecule: long non-coding RNA, 1059 nt
Organism: Austrofundulus limnaeus
Lineage: Eukaryota; Metazoa; Chordata; Actinopteri; Cyprinodontiformes; Rivulidae
Exons: 3
Source: RefSeq, a predicted model, not a curated record